GUACACUCCUGCGGGAGGCAGCAGUGGGGAAUUUUGGACAAUGGGCGAAAGCCUGAUCCAGCAAUGCCGCGUGAGUGAAGAAGGCCUUCGGGUUGUAAAGCUCUUUUGUCAGGGAAGAAACGGUGAAAGCUAAUAUCUUUUGCUAAUGACGGUACCUGAAGAAUAAGCACCGGCUAACUACGUGCCAGCAGCCGCGGUAAUACGUAGGGUGCAAGCGUUAAUCGGAAUUACUGGGCGUAAAGCGUGCGCAGGCGGUUUUGUAAGUCUGAUGUGAAAUCCCCGGGCUCAACCUGGGAAUUGCAUUGGAGACUGCAAGGCUAGAAUCUGGCAGAGGGGGGUAGAAUUCCACGUGUAGCAGUGAAAUGCGUAGAUAUGUGGAGGAACACCGAUGGCGAAGGCAGCCCCCUGGGUCAAGAUUGACGCUCAUGCACGAAAGCGUGGGGAGCAAACAGGAGUAGAUACCCGAGUAGUCCCA
RNAcentral lists this ribosomal RNA (475 nucleotides) under uncultured organism. RNAcentral describes it as "partial 16S ribosomal RNA". It matches the Rfam family "Bacterial small subunit ribosomal RNA", at positions 331 to 797 of the family's 1533-position model. The record is from RNAcentral.